GACGAACGCUGGCGGCGUGCUUAACACAUGCAAGUCGAACGGAAAGGCCCUGCUGUUGUGGGGUGCUCGAGUGGCGAACGGGUGAGUAACACGUGAGUAACCUGCCCUUGACUUUGGGAUAACUUCAGGAAACUUGGGCUAAUACCGGAUAGGAGCUCCUGCUGCAUGGUGGGGGUUGGAAAGUUUCGGCGGUUGGGGAUGGACUCGCGGCUUAUCAGCUUGUUGGUGGGGUAGUGGCUUACCAAGGCUUUGACGGGUAGCCGGCCUGAGAGGGUGACCGGGGACAUUGGGACUGAGAUACGGCGCAGAGUGCUACGGGAGGCAGCAGUGGGGAAUAUUGCACAAUGGGCGGAAGCCUGAUGCAGCGACGCCGGGUGCGGAAUGACGGCCUUCGGGUUGUAAACCGCUUUCGCCUGUGACGAAGCGUGAGUGACGGUAAUGGGUAAAGAAGCACCGGCUAACUACGUG
This 468-nucleotide ribosomal RNA is filed under the name uncultured bacterium. RNAcentral's name for it is "partial 16S ribosomal RNA". It matches the Rfam family "Bacterial small subunit ribosomal RNA", at positions 28 to 507 of the family's 1533-position model. The record is from RNAcentral.